This 573-nucleotide long non-coding RNA is filed under the name Citrus maxima (pomelo). RNAcentral describes it as "long non-coding RNA (CMAX_LNC000017)". Lineage: Eukaryota; Viridiplantae; Streptophyta; Magnoliopsida; Sapindales; Rutaceae. The record is from RNAcentral.
CUUGCUACAGAAUUUUUCGCUCUGCCCCCUGAGGAGAAGCUCAAGUUUGAUAUGUCCGGUGGGAAGAAGGGUGGCUUCAUUGUCUCCAGCCACCUUCAGGUACCAACUCUCUUACUCUGUCCCCUACAUAUAUAUACACACACACACACACAUACAUACAUACAUACAUACAUAUAUCAGUUUAUUAUUAGUUGUUUACGCAGAUUUUUACUUUAGCUAUCAUGUGUGUAUCCAUUUUGUUAAAAAUGAAAUUACAAUCUGCCUAACACAAAAAAUUUACAAUCAACAGGGUUAACGAUAUUUAAGAUUGACAUUAUUAUAUCAUUGCGCGCAUGUAUAGCUCAGAACCCUACGCCCAAAUAAAAUAGAAUCUAUAAUGAUAUAGAAAAUUCAAUGAGAUACCAUUAGUUUAAACAUAUCCUCAACUCACAAGUAGUUUAUUUUUCUUGGGUUUGCCCUCCUUGUUUUUCUCUUUAUCUUCAAUUUUUCUUCCUCGUGAAUUUUCUAGUUUGAAAUCUACUUUCACGUGUAUUAGAAAUAAGAAACUUGUUUUAUGACGUUCACCAAGCAUAU